This 331-nucleotide ribosomal RNA is filed under the name uncultured eukaryote. RNAcentral describes it as "partial 18S ribosomal RNA". It matches the Rfam family "Eukaryotic small subunit ribosomal RNA", at positions 1470 to 1796 of the family's 1831-position model. The record is from RNAcentral.
CCCUUAGAUGUUCUGGGCCGCACGCGCGCUACACUGAUGCGUUCAACGAGUAUACAACCUUGAUCGAUAGGUCUGGGUAAUCUUGUGAAUGCGCAUCGUGCUAGGGAUAGAUUGUUGCAAUUUUCAAUCUUGAACGAGGAAUUCCUAGUAAACGCAAGUCAUCAGCUUGCAUUGAUUACGUCCCUGCCCUUUGUACACACCGCCCGUCGCUACUACCGAUUGAAUGGUUUAGUGAGAUCUCCGGAUUGGCUCUGUAGGUCCCGCAAGGGAUUUAUUAGUAGCCAAGAAGCUGCUCAAACUUGAUCAUUUAGAGGAAGUAAAAGUCGUAACA